This 207-nucleotide ribosomal RNA is filed under the name uncultured bacterium. RNAcentral describes it as "partial 16S ribosomal RNA". It matches the Rfam family "Bacterial small subunit ribosomal RNA", at positions 1287 to 1500 of the family's 1533-position model. The record is from RNAcentral.
CUCAGUUCGGAUUGGAGUCUGCAACUCGACUCCAUGAAGCUGGAUUCGCUAGUAAUCGCGCAUCAGCCAUGGCGCGGUGAAUACGUUCCCGGGCCUUGUACACACCGCCCGUCAAGCCAUGGAAGCCGGGGGUGCCUGAAGUGCGCCGACCGCAAGGAGCGCCCUAAGGUAAAACCGGUGACUGGGGCUAAGUCGUAACAAGGUAGC